RNAcentral lists this ribosomal RNA (250 nucleotides) under uncultured bacterium. RNAcentral's name for it is "partial 16S ribosomal RNA". It matches the Rfam family "Bacterial small subunit ribosomal RNA", at positions 61 to 339 of the family's 1533-position model. The record is from RNAcentral.
GUCGAGCGAAGUCUUCGGACUUAGCGGCGGACGGGUUAGUAACGCGUGGGAACGUACCUUUUGCUUCGGAAUAGCCUCGGGAAACUGGGAGUAAUACCGAAUGUGCCCUUAGGGGGAAAGAUUUAUCGGCAAAAGAUCGGCCCGCGUCUGAUUAGAUAGUUGGUGGGGUAAUGGCCUACCAAGUCUGCGAUCAGUAGCUGGUUUGAGAGGAUGAUCAGCAACACUGGGACUGAGACACGGCCCAGACUCC